GACGAACGCUGGCGGCGUGCUUAAUACAUGCAAGUCAACUUGACUUUAGAUAGCAAUAUCGAAAAGUAGGGUGGCGCACGGGUGCGUAACGCGUAGGUAAUCUGCCUGAGUCUGUCAUAACCCGUCGAAAGGCGGCUAAACAUCAGAUGAUAUAUAAUCACGACAUCGUGGAAAUAUCAAAUCUUCGGAGCCUUGGGAUGAGCCUGCGUCUGAUUUAGGUAGUUGGCGGAGUAAUAGCCCACAAGCCUACGAUCAGUAGCUGGUCUGAGAGGAUGAUCAGCCACACUGGAACUGAGACACGGUCCAGACUCCUACGGGA
This 319-nucleotide ribosomal RNA is filed under the name uncultured bacterium. RNAcentral describes it as "bacterial SSU rRNA". It matches the Rfam family "Bacterial small subunit ribosomal RNA", at positions 28 to 346 of the family's 1533-position model. The record is from RNAcentral.